Small nucleolar RNA from Suncus etruscus (white-toothed pygmy shrew), 134 nucleotides. RefSeq annotates it as small nucleolar RNA SNORA51. The record is from RefSeq and is a predicted model, not a curated record. NCBI's taxonomy places the organism in Eukaryota, Metazoa, Chordata, Mammalia, Eulipotyphla, Soricidae. The transcript has a single exon.
CGCCUCUCAAUUCUUACCACAAGGCUGUGUUCUUUACACUGACUGUAUAGAAAGAGGAAGUACAGUAAAUACAUCCCAUGAACACCUCAAUCCAGGCCCCUUGCCUGGUCUGUAUUGUGAAUUGGGGAACAAAA